GCGGGGGUGCCCGAGUCAGGACAAGGGGCUAGAGCCCCGUCCAGAGGGGCGGGACUUAAGAUCCCGUGGGGGCAGCCCCGUCCGGGGUUCAAAUCCCCGCCCCCGCACCA
This 110-nucleotide transfer RNA is filed under the name Thermoprotei archaeon. RNAcentral describes it as "tRNA-Leu". It matches the Rfam family "tRNA". Rfam says of the family: Transfer RNA (tRNA) molecules are approximately 80 nucleotides in length. Their secondary structure includes four short double-helical elements and three loops (D, anti-codon, and T loops). Lineage: Archaea; Thermoproteati; Thermoproteota; Thermoprotei. RNAcentral also lists the same sequence under 1 other name. The record is from RNAcentral.